This is an RNA transcript of Antechinus flavipes (yellow-footed antechinus), 1531 nucleotides long. It is a transcript of the gene named nucleoside-triphosphatase, cancer-related, with no coding region annotated. The record is from RefSeq and is a predicted model, not a curated record. The transcript has 7 exons. NCBI's taxonomy places the organism in Eukaryota, Metazoa, Chordata, Mammalia, Dasyuromorphia, Dasyuridae.
UUUAAAGGGGAGAGGGUCUCAAGGUAUCCAACUAUAGCUGAGGCAGCGAGGGGUGGUACACUGGUCCUGGGGUCAGGAAAACCUGACAUUUAUAAUUGUGCUACCUUAAGAAAAACAUUUAGACUGUUUGCCUCAGUUUCCUCAACUGCAAAAUGGAGAUAAUAAUAGCGUUUAUCAUCCAGGGGCCUUAAAAGGCUAAACGAAAUAUUUGUAAAGGGCUUGCCACAGAAUUUGCCGCUUUGCAGGUACUUAAGAAAUGGAUGCUAUUAUUAUUACCGUUACUUUUAAUUACCAAUGUCACUGAUGUGCCCAGCAAGUCCCGCUAAUGACGUCACGUCAAAUUCAAGCAGCUUUACUGCAGCCAGUUCAGGAGACAACCAAGUUUUGCCUUUGUUCGGAACAAUCCAGGCGCUUGAACUCAGGAUGCAAAGGUAAAGGGACACAGAGCAUGCGCGGUGAGCCAUCCAAGGAAGCUAUCUCCGCCCUCUCCAAGAGGAGGAGGGGGAGGGGAAACGGAAGAGAAAGAGGUGGAGCCGGAGGUUGUACAUCCGAGGAGGGAGGAUCUGAGAGCUCCUGACCCCAGCCAUGACCAAACAUGUGUUCUUAACGGGGCCCCCAGGGGUUGGAAAAACCACACUAAUCCAGAAAGCCAGUGAUGCUCUCAGAUCACUGGGUGUGCCUGUUGAUGGAUUUUAUACAGAAGAAGUCAGACAAGGCGGGAGAAGAAUAGGAUUUGAUGUGGUCACACUGUCUGGAUUGAGGGGUCCUUUGUCUAGAGUUGGGUCAGAGCCUCCCGCUGGAAGACGGGAAUACCGAGUGGGGCAGUAUGUGGUCGACCUUAUUUCUUUUGAGCAGUUAGCUCUCCCAGUGUUGAAAAAUGCAGAUGCUGGUCACAGCCCUGGAAAGAGGGUGUGUAUCAUUGAUGAAAUUGGGAAAAUGGAACUCUUUAGUCAGACUUUCAUUCACGCUGUGCGUCAGACUCUCUCCAGCCCAGGGACUGUGAUUUUUGGCACGAUACCGAUCCCUAAAGGAAAGCCAUUGACACUCGUGGAAGAAAUAAGAAACAGAAAUGAUGUUAAGGUGUUCAAUGUUACAAAGGAAAACAGAGAUAGUCUUUUACAAGAAAUCGUGACAGCCGUGCAGAGCUGCCGAAAGUAAAGCUUGUUUGUGCGGAAUGCUUUCCUGUCAGCUAAGUAGUGUCAUUGGCGACUAUAUCCUGCUCUUCAACAAACCUUCUCUUGUAAAAAAGAAAAACCAACAGAGAGGAUAAUUCCAUCUGAUGUUGCCUGAAACAUCUUACACUCUUACUCCCCUCAUCUCCCCCAAAGAAAGAAGAGCAGUAUAUUUCUUCAUCUCUUCUCCAAGACCAAAGUUGGAACUUUGAAGGAUAAAGGUGCUGCUGGAUUCAAGAUGGACAAAUGUUCAAGUCUUCAAAAAAGGGAAGACAGUUUUAGAACUUGCAAACUAGAGGGCAGUGAACUUGAUGUUGAUAUCUGGCAAAAAAUUUUUUAAUAAAAUUAGUUUGAACUUG